GACGAACGCUGGCGGCGUGCUUAACACAUGCAAGUCGAGCGGUAAGGCCCUUCGGGGUACACGAGCGGCGAACGGGUGAGUAACACGUGGGUGAUCUGCCCUGCACUUCGGGAUAAGCCUGGGAAACUGGGUCUAAUACCGGAUAUGACCAAAGGCUGCAUGGCUUUUGGUGGAAAGGUUUACUGGUGCAGGAUGGGCCCGCGGCCUAUCAGCUUGUUGGUGGGGUAAUGGCCUACCAAGGCGACGACGGGUAGCCGACCUGAGAGGGUGACCGGCCACACUGGGACUGAGACACGGCCCAGACUCCUACGGGAGGCAGCAGUGGGGAAUAUUGCACAAUGGGCGAAAGCCUGAUGCAGCGACGCCGCGUGAGGGAUGAAGGCCUUCGGGUUGUAAACCUCUUUCAGCAGGGACGAAGCGAAAGUGACGGUACCUACA
Molecule: ribosomal RNA, 438 nt
Filed under: bacterium Ellin303
Lineage: Bacteria; Bacillati; Actinomycetota; Actinomycetes; Mycobacteriales; Nocardiaceae
Description: bacterial SSU rRNA
Rfam family: Bacterial small subunit ribosomal RNA
Source: RNAcentral